CCUACGGGUGGCAGCAGUGAGGAAUAUUGCUCAAUGGGCGCAAGCCUGAACCAGCCAAGUCGCGUGAGGGAUGACGGUCCUAUGGAUUGUAAACCUCUUUAGUCGGGGAGCAAGGCACGCCACGUGUGGCGGGAAGGAGAGUACCCUACGACAAAGCAUCGGCAAACUUCGUGCCAGCAGCAGCGGUAAUACGGGGGAUGGGAGGUUUAUCCGGAGCUAUUGGGUGAAAGGGGUGCGUAGGCGGAAGGGAAUGUCAGCGGUAAAAUGGCGGUGCUAAACACCGGCCUGCCGUUGAAACUGGUCGUCUUGAGUGAGCGAGAGGCAUGCGGAAUGCGUGGUGUAGCGGUGAAAUGCGUAGAUAUCACGCAGAACACCGAUGGCGAAGGCAGCAUACCGGC
This 398-nucleotide ribosomal RNA is filed under the name uncultured bacterium. RNAcentral describes it as "partial 16S ribosomal RNA". It matches the Rfam family "Bacterial small subunit ribosomal RNA", at positions 338 to 733 of the family's 1533-position model. The record is from RNAcentral.